This is an RNA transcript of Oryza brachyantha (malo sina), 1018 nucleotides long. It is a transcript of the gene named photosystem I reaction center subunit III, chloroplastic, with no coding region annotated. The transcript is spliced from 2 exons. The record is from RefSeq and is a predicted model, not a curated record. Lineage: Eukaryota; Viridiplantae; Streptophyta; Magnoliopsida; Poales; Poaceae.
ACAAACCCCGCCAAUCAAACUAAUCCCACCACGCGCGCACCGAUCGCAAGCUACGUACUCUCACCGCCGCAGCCGCAGCAGCAAUGGCAGCACUCGCAGCCGCGUCCACGGCCUUCGCGGCGAAGCCGCGCCUGGCGUCGGCGUCGCGGUUCUCCGUGUCGUGCUCCGCGGCGGGGAAGAGCGGCGAGGUGGCGCAGUCGCUGGCGGCGUCGGCCAAGACGUUCUCGGCGGCGCUGGCGCUGUCGUCGGUGCUGCUGUCCUCGGCGGCCACCUCGCCACCGCCUGCGGCCGCCGACAUCGCCGGGCUGACCCCGUGCAAGGAGUCCAAGGCGUUCGCCAAGCGCGAGAAGCAGUCCCUCAAGAAGCUCCAGUCGUCGCUCAAGAAGUACGCGCCCGACUCCGCGCCGGCGCUCGCCAUCAACGCCACCAUCGAGAAGACGAAGCGCCGCUUCGAGAACUACGGCAAGUUCGGCCUGCUCUGCGGCGCCGACGGCCUGCCGCACCUCAUCGUCAGCGGCGACCAGCGGCACUGGGGCGAGUUCAUCACUCCGGGGCUGCUCUUCCUCUACAUCGCCGGCUGGAUCGGCUGGGUUGGCAGGAGCUACCUUAUCGCCAUCAGCGGCGAGAAGAAGCCCGCCAUGAGGGAGAUCAUCAUCGACGUUGAGCUCGCCGUCAGGCUCCUCCCAAGGGGGUUCAUCUGGCCCGUCGCCGCCUACCGUGAGCUCAUCACCGGCAACCUCGUCGUCGACGACGCUGACAUCGGCUACUGAUCAGCCUGCGUCGACGACACCACAUGGAUGCUUCCGUAGUCAGCACCAGGUGAGUUGCUUUGGCAGCGGAGGAAGAGGGCUCAUGGUGAUUUGUGUGGUUUUGGUGUAGAAACUCAUAGGAUCAUGGAGAAAUGGAAGAUCUGUUGUACUUAAGAAACUUAAGUCCUGUAUAACUUGUACCUCUCUCUUGUGUGUAUUUACCAUCCUAAGAUUCUUGAGAACAAUUUCAACCCUGCAUUUCAAUUGCA